RNAcentral lists this unclassified non-coding RNA (254 nucleotides) under Borreliella garinii. Its description in RNAcentral is "partial 5S-23S ribosomal RNA intergenic spacer". Lineage: Bacteria; Pseudomonadati; Spirochaetota; Spirochaetia; Spirochaetales; Borreliaceae. The record is from RNAcentral.
UGCGAGUUCGCGGGAGAGUAAGUUGUUGCCAGGGUUUUUGUUUUAUACUUUAAACAUUGAUUUUAUUUUUUAUGUUUUUAGAUGCUCAUGUUUUUGAAUGUUUUAUUCAAAUAAUAUAAAAAAUAAAAUAUAUAUUGACAUGGAUUAAGCAAAGAUAUAUAUUAUUCUAUGUUGUAUAAACAAAUUGGCAAAAUAGAGAUGGAAGAUAAAAAUAUGGUCAAAGUAAUAAGAGUCUAUGGUGAAUGCCUAGGAGC